AUCGCCUAAUCUAAAUUUUUGUGCACUCAUCCAAGCAGGAAUUAUUAAAGGUAAAUCAAGCAGCAUCUUGUGAAUGGAGUAUCUACUUCUAAAGAGAUCUGAAUCAUUUGACCCGAGAGGUCAAGCACUCUUGAUUCAGUGCUCUUCCAUCACUAGUCUUUGGCGAAGGCACCAUGGCUCCGUUUUGCCCCGAAGAGAACUCUGCGGUAAAUGUGUGAAGGUGGAAUUGUGUAUGGUCAGGUAGAUGCUGGUCUUUCUGUAGCUGCUCACUCCCAAAAUGGGCAUCAGAGCAGUCAGCAGGGCGAAAAGCCACCCAGCCGCCAUUAUUGUGAGGCAUGGCGCAGGCGCAGCUGCAUAGCGUAAGUGAUGGUGUGCCAGCGCUCCAGGGCAAUGGCAGUCAGAGUGUAAACAAACAGCUCGCUGGAGAAAACUGUGAAGAAGCCUGCCACAUGGCACCCAGCUCCCAUCUGCCAGUCCAAUAUAUAAAGGAUGUAACUGAACUCACAAUUUUUCAAUUUUGCUACCAUUGAAUGCAUAGCUAUUAAUCUCACAGAUCCCAUGCCCUGUUAAUCUCCUGCAUUAGUACAUUAAGUUAGGCCACUUUUCAAAAGUUUGGGGCUGGUAAGAUUUUUUUAUGUUUAACUUUACUGUUUUAAUUUAUUUUACACUGUAACUAAUUCCUGUGAUGACAAAGCUGAAUUUUUAG
This is a long non-coding RNA of Cyprinus carpio carpio, 706 nucleotides long. The record is from Ensembl. NCBI's taxonomy places the organism in Eukaryota, Metazoa, Chordata, Actinopteri, Cypriniformes, Cyprinidae.